Molecule: ribosomal RNA, 397 nt
Filed under: uncultured bacterium
Lineage: Bacteria
Description: partial 16S ribosomal RNA
Rfam family: Bacterial small subunit ribosomal RNA
Source: RNAcentral
AUACGUAGGUGGCGAGCGUUGUCCGGAAUUACUGGGCGUAAAGGAUGCGUAGGUGGAUAUUUAAGUGGGAUGUGAAAUCCCCGGGCUCAACCCGGGAACUGCAUUCCAAACUGGGAAUCUAGAGUGCAGGAGAGGAAAGCGGAAUUCCUAGUGUAGCGGUGAAAUGCGUAGAUAUUAGGAGGAACACCAGUGGCGAAGGCGGCUUUCUGGACUGUAACUGACACUGAGGCAUGAAAGCGUGGGUAGCAAACAGGAUUAGAUACCCUGGUAGUCCACGCCGUAAACGAUGGGUACUAGGUGUAGGAGGUAUCGACCCCUUCUGUGCCGUCGUUAACACAAUAAGUCCCCCGCCUGGGGAGUACGGUCGCAAGACUAAAACUCAAAGGAAUUGACGGGG